Molecule: ribosomal RNA, 305 nt
Filed under: uncultured bacterium
Lineage: Bacteria
Description: bacterial SSU rRNA
Rfam family: Bacterial small subunit ribosomal RNA
Source: RNAcentral
GCGACCUACGGGACGCAGCAGUGAGGAAUAUUGGUCAAUGGGAGAGAUCCUGAACCAGCCAAGCCGCGUGAGGGAAGACGGCCCUAUGGGUUGUAAACCUCUUUUGUCGGAGAACAAAACCCGGGACGUGUCCCGGACUGCGUGUAUCCGAAGAAAAAGCAUCGGCUAACUCCGUGCCAGCAGCCGCGGUAAUACGGAGGAUGCGAGCGUUAUCCGGAUUUAUUGGGUUUAAAUGGUGCGUAGGCGGUCCGUUACGUCAGCCGUAAAAUUGCGGGGCUCAACCCGUCUAGCCGUUGAAACUGGCA